GGACCAAGAAGUAAUGAGCGCCGAAGUCCGUGACAAAUUGAGGAAGGGUGAGCAGCUUCCUGUAUCUCUCACCAAAAUCAACAUGGUUGAUUUACCACUAGGUGCUACUGAGGACAGGGUGUGUGGGACAAUCGACAUUGAGAAAGCUCUUACCGAGGGUGUGAAGGCAUUCGAACCUGGUCUUCUUGCUAAAGCUAACAGAGGAAUACUUUAUGUCGAUGAGGUUAAUCUUUUGGACGACCAUUUGGUAGACGUUCUUUUGGAUUCUGCAGCAUCAGGAUGGAACACUGUUGAAAGAGAGGGGAUAUCAAUUUCACACCCUGCUCGAUUUAUCCUUAUUGGUUCAGGUAAUCCCGAAGAAGGAGAACUUAGGCCACAGCUUCUUGAUCGAUUUGGAAUGCAUGCCCAAGUCGGGACUGUGAGAGAUGCAGAACUGAGAGUGAAGAUCGUCGAGGAAAGAGGUCGUUUUGACAAGAACCCCAAGGAAUUCCGGGAAUCAUACAAGGGGGAGCAAGAAAAGCUCCAGAGCCAAAUCACCUCAGCCAGGAGCGGGCUUUCUUCUGUUACGAUUGAUCAUGAUCUUCGUGUUAAAAUCUCUAAGGUCUGUGCAGAACUGAAUGUCGA
RNAcentral lists this long non-coding RNA (624 nucleotides) under Solanum tuberosum (potato). Its description in RNAcentral is "long non-coding RNA (STUB_LNC009589)". Lineage: Eukaryota; Viridiplantae; Streptophyta; Magnoliopsida; Solanales; Solanaceae. The record is from RNAcentral.